GUGCUCUCCAUACGAAAGAAUCGUCCGUAUCACUAAAACAGCGAUAGAAGGGCUAUUAACAUGAUAACAAAGCGAGUCAUGAAACUGCUGGAGAUUCACAACGCUAAACGAAAAGAUAGAAGGGUUAUAAAUUCUACAACAGACCGAGUCAUGAAGCUGCAGGAGAUUCAUCACGCUAGGCCACCGCUUGUUGGAAAAACAAACAACAAACCAGUCUAAUUCUUCGAAAAAUCUUAAUAUUUCCUGGCUUAAUCCUAAUAAUUCACUAAAGUUAUUAAAUGAGUUUAUUUCUUAAGAGUCAGAAAUCUUAUUGAUUAAAUGAAAACUUAAAGUUAAUUGCUUAUGAUUGGUGUUAAAAGCUUGGAAUAGAAUGGAAACUGCAAUAAAUAAUCCCCAGAUCCAUAGAAAAAACUUAAGUGCAAAUAUAAAUAUUUGAUGAUAUACAGAGAUGUAAAGAGCUGUUUAUCAUAUUUCACUAAAAUAAGACAAUACCAGAUCUUAACAGCCUCAGCCUGUUUUGCAAAACCCGAAUGUCUGUUCGUUGGAUUGAGGUGUCGGUUGGAUUGAGGUGUCCGUUGUCCGAGAAAGGAGGCUAAAAGACUUUGCCAAUAAACUGAAUAUUUGAAAAUGAUCGUGAUAAGGAGGUGUCCGUUAUAAGGAGGUGUCUGCUAAUACUAGGUCGGCUAUUACUAGGUGUCCGAUAUAAGGAUGUAUCCAGUAUAGGAAUUUAGUGAUAACACUUCUUAGUUUGUCGAUGUAUUAACACUUCACUGUACAAACACUGCCUGAAGCCAAGCUUGUAUAUGAUUAAAAUUAAUACAAUAAAAUAACGACUGUGUACAAGAAUGAAAUAUAAGUACGACGUCUCGCGCAUCACUCUUCGUCUUAAUUUUUGCUAACUACUUGACGUACAACACGCUCAACUCCAUUGAUUAUAUAUCCCACUAAUGUUAACUAGUUUUCUCCAACCUCCAAGAUGAAGUGGAACAGGGAGCUUUAUCAAGUAAAAACUGAGGUAUCAUGAAGGGACGGAAACCUAUGAUAGAUAAUAAGCAACAUGCUUUCUCAAUCCCUUCAUUUUCUUUUUUCUUUUCGAUAACAUCCAUUUAACAAAAUAAAACACAAACAAUUUCCCGGCUUUUCUAUACAAAAUCGUCAAAGAUAUUUUCAUUAACUUGUUAAAGGUCUAUUAUCUUCAAAAAGUUCGGGGUAUGGGAUUCAGGUGUCUCCCGGUUCCAACCCCCUUCGAACACUUGUGAAUGAGAAUUCGCAGUAAUAAAUUUUUAUGGAGCAGUUUUCUUUCACAAAGACUUCUAGUCUAUUUUAAUGCAAAGGAUUAGCAAACUUCAACGUAUUUCGUAGAUGGAUAGGGGCAAAUUGAUGCUAGAAAUAAUUCUUUUACGUUCCGUUCGAAAUGGUGAGAGCGAGAAUCCCUUUUGUCGAGAGUCCUAAGAUUAAGUAUCGAUUUUUCUGUAUGGGAAAGCAAGCGGCUUAUAUAUGAGCAAACGCAUGAUUAAAUAACAUAUUUAUAAACAUGUGGUUAAUACCAUGGAAAAAAGAAACAAAACAUAGCCAUCCCCGAAGCAACGCUAAACAGAGAUAAAAUUGGGAAUGGAUAUAUAGAUGACAUCUGAACCGUCAUUGUGGUAAUAUAUGGAUUGCCUUUACAGACGAGGAGCUGUGCAAACUAUUUGCCAAGUUCAAACAAGGACAAAAUAAAAGCAGGUUUAGCCCUUUAGUGAAAACAACAGCUCUAAAUCCUAUGUCUAUAUUUCAUGCAUCUCCAAACCCCUCAUGUUUCUUUUGGAAUUUCGCAUCCUUGUUCGUGUACUUUCUAUCCUGUAGAUUUCACUUCUGGCCUGGGCAUGUUAUAGUUUGGUAGCAAAGAAAGGGGCGAGUAGAAAAGAAUUAACCCAAAUUGCUUGUCCUUUUGGACUCCAGCACCAAGAAGGGACUCGUAGAAAUGAUUCAGCCCUCGCUGCAAGCAAAUGUCCAGUCAGUGGGUGUAAAGGGUGCCUAUGAUCCCCCUAUUGGAAUCAAAAGCCGGAUAUCCUGAAAUUAUGAAAUGUCACUGACAUUUUCAACAAAAUAUUCACUUAUCUCUUUCCAUUCACGUAUCAAUUUAUCAAAUGACACGCCGCCUGGAAAUGGGUGUUGAACUCAGCCCCAAUUUCCCCCAGCUCAACAGAAAGUCACCAGUUUUCAAUCACUGAUCUUCGAGACCUCACCACUACAUAUUUGACUCUUUUAGAGGAAACUGUCACUAAUCUUUUUCUUCCAAGCAUUGGAUUUUUCUGAUUCAAGGCAGUGAUGUCAAGCUUUUAGUAGCUGCAAAUUUUUCAAUCGUAAGAUGCUUUCAAAAAACCGUCUGCACCUCCAACCAACCUCCAAAAUAAACCUAACCAAAUUGUCAACUCAAAAAGUGUGCACAUUAAACCUGAGUUAAUUGUAGAAAAUUGGUUCCCUUAAAUUCGAUCUGAAAAAACAGGAGGGGCAGAGGCAAAAAAUUUCAUUAACCCACUUGUCAAUAAAACAUCGAUGCGAUUAAAAAAAUUUAUUUAAAUCGCCUUGUUACCAAAUGAGGGAAAAUUCGCUUGCGGACCAUCAAAAGACUUUACUCUCGAUGCUCAAUAUGAGCAAUAAUAUUCCGUUUGAAAGCCUCUUUGUAAACUUCUGUCUGUAAACGGAAAUUCUUAACAACAUCAAGUGAAUAAUUUGUCCUUUAAAAUAAGUUUAUCACAGAUUGUAGGUAAUUUUCUUUUCGAACCCGAAAUUGGUUUGGUGAAUAAAAUACGAAGCGUAAGUUCAACGGGCUUGCAUCCAGGGUGUGCUCAUGCCAUAAAACAAAAACAAUGAACGCCGUUUGUCUAGGCCAGCCAAAUAGUCGUCGGACGGUCCACACAAAAACCACAAAAUCAGUCACCCUUACCUCUAUCAAAUCUGAUUCCAACAUCCUUUACAGCAGGUGAAAGCAUCAGCUAACAUAUAAAACGAUUUCCCAAAAUCCCGGCACUAAACUUCAUAAGAAUUUAAAACUUCAGCUCCAAAAGUACGCUCUGGCAGGGAAACAUAUACAUCUUCCAAACAAAGAUGUCUGACUCAAACGAUAACGUACGCACUGUAAUCCUAUUUCAAAAGUCACACAAAAAGAGCUUUGUUUAAAAUAUAAUACCGCACACAAAGAAUAUUCUCAAAUCUUUUAUUUCAUAGUAAACAUGAGGAUUGUUUCCUCCCAAUUCACUUCAGCGAUAAUUAUUUCUCUGUUGAUGAGGAAAACAAGCUUUGGAAACAGAAUUAAAUAGGAUCAUGUCGGCGAUGGGAGAUCAGGUCGUAGGAACACCCUCGGGCGGGGAGGCACAUGUUCUUAUAAACACAUCCAGUGUGUUAACGAACAAGGCAGCUGUAAAAGACCGAUAGCAGCCUAUAGCAAUGGGCAUGUUAGAAGCAUCAAAUGCAAUUUAUAUGGCCCCAACAAUAAGUAUUGACAGGGAACUUAUAAGAUACAAGUUUUGUGCAAUCUGGACAUCAAUGUUAUGGUUCAGAUAAAAGGCGAGUACACACCCUCAUUAUGUGGUCACUAAUCGUAAGAAUCCUGCAACCACAUUUCCUGGGCCAAAGGUGACUCUAGUUAUUGUGAGAAAGUAAAUAAAACGCGACUCUCCCACCUUUGUUUGAUUGGUUGCUAUGGUGAUAACGAGUAGUAGUAGCUCCGGGGGAAGAUGUGGAGGCAAUUUUUUUUGGGGGGGG
Rhopilema esculentum is the source of this 3747-nucleotide long non-coding RNA. RefSeq lists it as uncharacterized. NCBI's taxonomy places the organism in Eukaryota, Metazoa, Cnidaria, Scyphozoa, Rhizostomeae, Rhizostomatidae. The record is from RefSeq and is a predicted model, not a curated record.